Felis catus (domestic cat) is the source of this 1667-nucleotide long non-coding RNA. RefSeq lists it as uncharacterized. The transcript has 3 exons. Lineage: Eukaryota; Metazoa; Chordata; Mammalia; Carnivora; Felidae. The record is from RefSeq and is a predicted model, not a curated record.
UCUUCUCAGUUCUGUUUAACAAAUUUUUCCUUAAUUAUACUCAUAAAGGUAGUUUUUUGUAAUCCUUUCUGAAAUUUUAUGGAUUUUAAUCGAUUUCUUUCUGCAUGUGUAUGGUGUGAAGGAAAGGUUAAAUCUGUUUUUUCCUUCAUGAAUAGCUAACAGUUGACUGACUUUUCAUUGAAAACUCCAUCUUUUUCCUCUUUCCUAAAGUCCUACCUCUAUCAACAAUCAAGUAUCCACUUGGCGUUAUUUCUAAACUUCUUAUUGUACACUCGUCUCUUUUUUCAUCACAUAACAAUUUUGUGUUGAUUGUUCCAGCUAAUUAGUAUGUGUUUCUUUAGACAAAGUAAGGCCAUAAUUUUUGUGUUCUGACAUUGAGGGUGUCUUUGCAACUUUUUAUGUCUGAGAAGGACUUUUUCAAGUUACACAAAAAAUUUUGACUUCAGCUGGGAACAUGCAUGUCAGGUGACUAAAUAUUUUGCUGCUCUGGGCGUGUCACUGAAUGAUGGUAAAGUGCCAUAAGUAUUGAUUUUGGGGUUAAAAGAAUUUUUAGCAAAUAAAUAAAUUUGUAAAUACAAAAUCUGUGAAUAAUGAGGAUUGAGUAUAAAGGUGUUUUUUGGGCAAAUUGGUGAUGUUUCUGAUGGUUACCAAGGGGCUGAGAGAGUUGGGGACUGCUAUGGUGUUCCAUGCUAGGAUGGCCAGAUAUUCAAUAAAUUAAAAUCCCCAUAAGUAAAGCAAACAUCAUAUAUAAAACCUGGAAGGCUUUUAAAUUCUUAAAAAUCCCAAUCUUCAUUGGCCCAGUUAGGGCCAAUGUGUUUAUUUCUUCUUGUAUCACUCCCUGAGGAGAGGCAUUCUCUCAGCUUACCAAUCGUGUAACGUUUUCACACGAAAACUACUCCCAAAAUUAGGGUAGGUCUUAGGUUUAAUGUUUCAUAAGCAGGAAUAUUGUUUGUUCCAGACCCUAGUUCCAGGAUUUAGUCCUUUUUCAUAGAGUAACCACAUUCCUGUAUCCUAACAUGUCUGCCAAAAUUUGGUUAAUGUUCUGUGUAUCUUCUCAGAGGCCGAUCUGCUCAGGAAAAUCAGAACCAGAAGAGAGAAGUGAAAAGCCGAGAUCUUUGUGAAGUCUGUACAGCAUUACAUUGCCCUGGCCUAGCUCCUGGUGGAGCAGAACUUUCCAGCCAUUGCUAUCCAUUGUGGGACGCCCUGGCAGGAGAGGCUUUCCUGGUAUCAGUAGUUAAAGAUCUUUGAUGACAACUUCUUGUGGCCACCAUGGACACUGAGCGGGUGAACACUGCCAUCAACUACCACCUGCCUGGAGAUUCCCACUCCUACCUGCAUCUGGUAAGCUGCACACCCACAUGGACAUCCCAGUGUCCCCUCCCACCCCCUGAUUUCCUAUGUCUUCAUACCUUACAUGCUUGUCCCUUCUUUUGGGUGUCUUCCUACUUUGGGGUUUUCCCAGUGCUACCAUCUAUCUCCUUCCAUGAGACCUGAGCAGGCCAGUUUGGUCACACAGGUUUGGCCAUCAUGUUUGUGUCAGUUGAAAAGAUGCCAAGGUUCUCAGUGAGGUGCAGAGUCACAUUGAGGUCAGUAGGAGUGAGCUGCCUGAUGAGAUGGCCAUUUCCUCCUCCAGUGAGUAUUGAUCUCAUGAAACUGGCUCCUCCAAA